CUAGUCAUCUCAGUAAUGCAGCUAACGCAUUAAGUGUACAGCCUGGGGAGUACGGUCGCAAGAUUAAAACUCAAAGGAAUAGACGGGGACCCGCACACGCGGUGGAGCAUGUGGUUUAAUUCGAAGAUACGCGAAGAACCUUACCUGGGCGUGAUAUCCUAAGAACCUUUUAGAGAUAAGAGGGUGCUAGCUUGCUAGAACUUAGAGACAGGUGCUGCACGGCGGUCGUCAGCUCGUGUCGUGAGAUGUUGGGUUAAGUCCCGCAACGAGCGCAACCCA
Molecule: ribosomal RNA, 279 nt
Filed under: Campylobacter jejuni
Lineage: Bacteria; Pseudomonadati; Campylobacterota; Epsilonproteobacteria; Campylobacterales; Campylobacteraceae
Description: partial 16S ribosomal RNA
Rfam family: Bacterial small subunit ribosomal RNA
Source: RNAcentral